UACGAAGGGUGCAAGCGUUAAUCGGAAUUACUGGGCGUAAAGCGUGCGCAGGCGGCUUUGCAAGACAGAUGUGAAAUCCCCGGGCUCAACCUGGGAACUGCAUCUGUGACUGCAAGGCUAGAGUACGGCAGAGGGGGAUGGAAUUCCGCGUGUAGCAGUGAAAUGCGUAGAUAUGCGGAGGAACACCAAUGGCGAAGGCAAUCCCCUGGGCCUGUACUGACGCUCAUGCACGAAAGCGUGGGGAGCAAACAGG
Molecule: ribosomal RNA, 253 nt
Filed under: uncultured bacterium
Lineage: Bacteria
Description: partial 16S ribosomal RNA
Rfam family: Bacterial small subunit ribosomal RNA
Source: RNAcentral